CAAAAUUCAUCAUCCCUCUCUUGCAAAUAACUUCCCAUGAAAGAGAAAGAAGCAAUAUGUCUGUCAUUACUGCCAUUCGGCCUCUAGAGUUCUUGGUUGUUGAGAGAGAGAGAGAGAGAGAGAGAGGAAACUUCUGGGCUUCCUUCGAGUUCAUUCAGAGGUUCUUGUAGGAGAUCUGAUCAGUGACUGAAGAACAGGAAAAUGACAAAGAAAUUUUUGGUUUUAUUGCAGUGCUUUUCCUUGUUAACAUAUUAUCAGGUUUCUUUGUUUGAAGAUAAUCAUUCUUCAUUUUUCUUGUUUAACAUAUUAUCAGGGUAUUUCUCUCUCUCUCUCUCUCUC
Non-coding RNA from Carica papaya (papaya), 339 nucleotides. The record is from RefSeq and is a predicted model, not a curated record. NCBI's taxonomy places the organism in Eukaryota, Viridiplantae, Streptophyta, Magnoliopsida, Brassicales, Caricaceae.